GGUGGCUUAGUGGUUAGAGCGUCCGCCUCGGAUGCGAGAGGUCGUGCGUUCAGUCACCGGUCGAGUCAUACCAAAGACU
Non-coding RNA from Potamilus streckersoni, 79 nucleotides. NCBI's taxonomy places the organism in Eukaryota, Metazoa, Mollusca, Bivalvia, Unionida, Unionidae. The record is from the annotation of a GenBank genome assembly.